RNAcentral lists this small RNA (822 nucleotides) under Drosophila ananassae. Its description in RNAcentral is "GF27492". The record is from RNAcentral. Lineage: Eukaryota; Metazoa; Arthropoda; Insecta; Diptera; Drosophilidae.
CCACAAGCAGUUGCCCUUUCAGUUCAGUAAAAUUUUAAGACAAAUAUUAAGGUGAAGAACAUAAUAAAUUUUGAAAAUUUCGCGCCAUAGUGAAGACAAAACCCGCGAUCGUAACAGUCGGUCAUACUGCGCGAGUUAUCGGUACUAGCCCACCACUAGCGUACUGCUCCGGCCGGAGGAAAAGCGACACAAAACAUAGCACCCGCCAGAGCCAGCGAUACGCCAGUCGCUCAUUAGAUAAUAGCCGUUGACCAGGUUGCGCCGGGAAUCCGCUGGAGUUCCGCUGGCCACAUCCAGGACCCAAGCAGGCGGCGCAGGAAUCGGAGUCAGAGUCGGAAUCGGAUACGAGACGGAGCAGCACUACUAUCACACCCACUCAUUUAUUUGGAAUAAUCUCGAUUUGGCACCAACUGGAGCAAAAUUUUGCGUAUCUUUUUUUUAUCCAAAAUUGUCGGUGUCUGCGCUUCUAAAGGCACGGACGUUGUGUGGAACAAUUCAAUUAUAAUCUUAGGAAAAGCAACCAAUUCUUCAGCAGUCGAUGCGUGGCCCCAGCGUUGAACUAGGACCGGAUAUCGAGCUAGCAACUAGGAGCAGAGUGAGCUGCCAGGGGCGAUGGCCGAGCCAUAUCAGCUACGAACUCAGAUGGCAACACAGUAUCGUCGUCCACGACCAGGACACCCAGUGCAGUAUCCCCACCAAGGCGUAGUCUAUGCAAAUGGAGGCAGUGCUUCCUGGAACGAGUCACGCCAGCAGCAACAGCAACAACAAUUGCAAUUUCAACAACAACAACAACAAUUAGAACAACAGCAGAGGUACUCGUAC